AACGAACGCUGGCGGCAGGCCUAACACAUGCAAGUCGAACGCCCUAGCAAUAGGGAGUGGCAGACGGGUGAGUAACACGUGGGAACCUUCCCUAUAGUACGGAAUAGCCCCGGGAAACUUGGCGCAAUACCGUAUACGCCCGACAGGGGAAAGAUUUAUCGCUAUAGGAUGGGCCCGCGUCGGAUUAGCUAGUUGGUGAGGUAAUGGCUCACCAAGGCAACGAUCCGUAGCUGGUUUGAGAGAAUGACCAGCCACACUGGGACUGAGACACGGCCCAGACUCCUACGGGAGGCAGCAGUGGGGAAUCUUGGACAAUGGGCGCAAGCCUGAUCCAGCCAUGCCGCGUGAGUGAUGAAGGCCUUAGGGUUGUAAAGCUCUUUUGGCGGGGACGAUAAUGACGGUACCCGCAGAAUAAGUCCCGGCUAACUUCGUGCCAGCCGCCGCCGCGG
This 449-nucleotide ribosomal RNA is filed under the name uncultured bacterium. RNAcentral describes it as "partial 16S ribosomal RNA". It matches the Rfam family "Bacterial small subunit ribosomal RNA", at positions 29 to 523 of the family's 1533-position model. The record is from RNAcentral.